UACAGAGGAUGCAAGCGUUAUCCGGAAUGAUUGGGCGUAAAGAGUCCGUAGGUGGUAAUUCAAGUCUGUGGUUAAAGCGUGGAGCUCAACUCCAUAAGGGCCAUGGAAACUGAAUAACUAGAGUGAGGUAGGGGUAGAGGGAAUUCUCGGUGUAGCGGUGAAAUGCGUAGAUAUCGGGAAGAACACCGGUGGCGAAAGCGCUCUACUGGACCUUAACUGACACUGAGGGACGAAAGCUAGGGGAGCGAAAGGG
RNAcentral lists this ribosomal RNA (253 nucleotides) under uncultured bacterium. RNAcentral describes it as "partial 16S ribosomal RNA". It matches the Rfam family "Bacterial small subunit ribosomal RNA", at positions 524 to 776 of the family's 1533-position model. The record is from RNAcentral.